GAUGAACGCUGGCGGCGUGCUUAACACAUGCAAGUCGAACGAAGCACCUCUCCCGAAGAUUGACACAGCUUGCUGUAGAUUGAUUCAUUUGAGGUGACUGAGUGGCGGACGGGUGAGUAACGCGUGGGUAACCUGCCUCAUAGAGGGGGACAACAGUUGGAAACGACUGCUAAUACCGCAUAGUAAGAAGAAUUCGCAUGUUUUCUUCUUGAAAGAUUUAUCGCUAUGAGAUGGACCCGCGUCUGAUUAGCUAGUUGGUAAGGUAACGGCUUACCAAGGCGACGAUCAGUAGCCGGCUUGAGAGAGUGAACGGCCACAUUGGGACUGAGACACGGCCCAAACUCCUACGGGAGGCAGCAGUAGGGAAUAUUGCACAAUGGGGGAAACCCUGAUGCAGCGACGCCGCGUGAGUGAAGAAGUAUUUCGGUAUGUAAAGCUCUAUCAGCAGGGAAGAUAAUGACGGUACCUGACUAAGAAGCCCCGGCUAACUACGUG
RNAcentral lists this ribosomal RNA (495 nucleotides) under uncultured bacterium. Its description in RNAcentral is "partial 16S ribosomal RNA". It matches the Rfam family "Bacterial small subunit ribosomal RNA", at positions 28 to 507 of the family's 1533-position model. The record is from RNAcentral.